RNAcentral lists this long non-coding RNA (262 nucleotides) under Solanum tuberosum (potato). RNAcentral describes it as "long non-coding RNA (STUB_LNC010570)". The record is from RNAcentral. Lineage: Eukaryota; Viridiplantae; Streptophyta; Magnoliopsida; Solanales; Solanaceae.
AUAGUAGCUAGGGCAAGUUUCUAACUUGUGAUCUGACAGCAUUUGAGAAGCACCUGUGAGCUUCUUGCCAGAGCAUUUAAUGACCAAUAUUACCUAUGCAGCCAAUUUUAUAUUUGAACGUUCAGAAAAGUUGCAUUUUGAUGUAUAGGUGAAGCAAAAUAUACUAUUGUAGUGUGUUCAAUCUGACCUCAUUUCCUACUUUUACUUUAGAUUAGCUGUAAAUGGCCCAUGAAACAGGAUACUUUUGUUGCUUAAAAAGGAC